This 253-nucleotide ribosomal RNA is filed under the name uncultured bacterium. RNAcentral describes it as "partial 16S ribosomal RNA". It matches the Rfam family "Bacterial small subunit ribosomal RNA", at positions 524 to 776 of the family's 1533-position model. The record is from RNAcentral.
UACGUAGGGGGCAAGCGUUGUCCGGAAUUACUGGGCGUAAAGGGCUCGUAGGCGGCCAACUAAGUCAGACGUGAAAUCCCUCGGCUUAACCGGGGAACUGCGUCUGAUACUGGAUGGCUUGAGUUCGGGAGAGGGAUGCGGAAUUCCAGGUGUAGCGGUGAAAUGCGUAGAUAUCUGGAGGAACACCGGUGGCGAAGGCGGCUCUCUGGGACGUGACUGACGCUGAGGUGCGAAAGCGUGGGGAGCAAACAGG